UGGGGAAUAUUGCACAAUGGGCGAAAGCCUGAUGCAGCGACGCCGCGUGAGGGAUGACGGCCUUCGGGUUGUAAACCUCUUUCAGUAGGGACGAAGCGCAAGUGACGGUACCUGCAGAAGAAGCACCGGCUAACUACGUGCCAGCAGCCGCGGUAAUACGUAGGGUGCGAGCGUUGUCCGGAAUUACUGGGCGUAAAGAGCUCGUAGGCGGUUUGUCACGUCGUCUGUGAAAUCCUAGGGCUUAACCCUGGACGUGCAGGCGAUACGGGCUGACUAGAGUACUACAGGGGAGACUGGAAUUUCUGGUGUAGCGGUGGAAUGCACAGAUAUCAGGAAGAACACCGAUGGCGAAGGCAGGUCUCUGGGUAGUAACUGACGCUGAGGAGCGAAAGCAUGGGUAGCGAACAGG
Molecule: ribosomal RNA, 409 nt
Filed under: bacterium
Lineage: Bacteria
Description: partial 16S ribosomal RNA
Rfam family: Bacterial small subunit ribosomal RNA
Source: RNAcentral